AAUUGAUAAAAAAAGUUAACGAUGCUCAUGUACCAUGAAAGAGAGUUUAGCAUAUAUUAAUACAAAUUUAGAAUCUAGUUAGAAAUUUUAAAACAACAUUAAAAAUUAUAGCCUUCAGUAUAUAAAGCAUUUACCAAAAACUCAAUAUUUUCGUAGCGGUUAACACAUAGAUUUUGAGAAAAAUUCAAAAUAUAUGACAAUAUUGUUUUAAUGCAUAGUUGUCUCUUGCACUGAUAUAUGAUGAUGCUCAAA
Molecule: long non-coding RNA, 252 nt
Filed under: Brassica napus (rape)
Lineage: Eukaryota; Viridiplantae; Streptophyta; Magnoliopsida; Brassicales; Brassicaceae
Description: long non-coding RNA (BNAP_LNC027072)
Source: RNAcentral